RNAcentral lists this ribosomal RNA (450 nucleotides) under uncultured bacterium. RNAcentral describes it as "bacterial SSU rRNA". It matches the Rfam family "Bacterial small subunit ribosomal RNA", at positions 328 to 794 of the family's 1533-position model. The record is from RNAcentral.
UGGCCAGACUCCUACGGGAGGCAGCAGUCGGGAAUAUUGCGCAAUGGAGGAAACUCUGACGCAGUGACGCCGCGUAUAGGAAGAAGGUUUUCGGAUUGUAAACUAUUGUCGUUAGGGAAGAUACAAGACAGUACCUAAGGAGGAAGCCCCGGCUAACUAUGUGCCAGCAGCCGCGGUAAUACGGAGGGUGCAAGCGUUACUCGGAAUCACUGGGCGUAAAGAGCGCGUAGGCGGGAUAGCAAGUCAGAUGUGAAGUCCUAUGGCUUAACCAUAGAACUGCAUUUGAAACUGUUAUUCUAGAGUAUGGGAGAGGUAGGUGGAAUUCUUGGUGUAGGGGUAAAAUCCGUAGAGAUCAAGAGGAAUACUCAUUGCGAAGGCGACCUGCUAGAACAUAACUGACGCUGAUGCGCGAAAGCGUGGGGAGCAAACAGGAUUAGAUACCCCGGUAAC